CCUACGUGUGGCAGCAGUGAGGAAUAUUGGUCAAUGGCCGUAAGGCUGAACCAGCCAAGUAGCGUGAGGGAAGACUGCCCUAUGGGUUGUAAACCUCUUUUGUGCGGGGAUAAAGGUGUCCACGAGUGGAGGUUUGCAGGUCCCGCAUGAAUAAGGACGGGCUAAUUCCGUGCCAGCAGCCGCGGUAAUACGGAGGGUCCGGGCGUUAUCCGGAGUUAUUGGGUGUAAAGGGAGCGUAGGCCGGUCUUUAAGCGUGCCGUGAAAUGUUGGGGCUCAACCAUGGGAGUGCUGCGCGAACUGGGGACCUGGAGUGCGCGGAAGGCAGGCGGAAUUCGUGGUGUAGCGGUGAAAUGCGUAGAUAUCACGAAGAACACCGAUGGCGAAGGCAGCCUGCUGGAGCGUUACUGACGUUGAAGCUCGAAAGCGUGGGGAUCGAACAGGAUUAGAUACCCCUGUAGUC
Molecule: ribosomal RNA, 460 nt
Filed under: uncultured bacterium
Lineage: Bacteria
Description: partial 16S ribosomal RNA
Rfam family: Bacterial small subunit ribosomal RNA
Source: RNAcentral